RNAcentral lists this ribosomal RNA (301 nucleotides) under uncultured bacterium. RNAcentral describes it as "partial 16S ribosomal RNA". It matches the Rfam family "Bacterial small subunit ribosomal RNA", at positions 509 to 809 of the family's 1533-position model. The record is from RNAcentral.
CAGCCGCCGCGGUAAUACGAAGGGUGCAAGCGUUAAUCGGAAUUACUGGGCGUAAAGCGUGCGUAGGCGGUUUGUUAAGUCUGUUGUGAAAUCCCCGGGCUCAACCUGGGAAUGGCAAUGGAUACUGGCAAGCUAGAGUGUGUCAGAGGAUGGUGGAAUUCCCGGUGUAGCGGUGAAAUGCGUAGAGAUCGGGAGGAACAUCAGUGGCGAAGGCGGCCAUCUGGGACAACACUGACGCUGAGGCACGAAAGCGUGGGGAGCAAACAGGAUUAGAUACCCGCGUAGUCCCUGUCUCUUAUAA